AGUCACAAGCAACUCCAGGACUAAUAGGACUAGAAUGAUAUGGACCAUAAUGAAACUAAGUGUAAAUAUGAGGACCAAAUUGGGAUCAAUUUCCAAAUACAUAGCAAUCCAACGGUGUGAAUAUAAAGCGUGGCCACAGCGAAGAGCGCUGACAGUGAGCGAAUUGACAAACAAUUCCUUGUUUCCAAAACUUAAUUGAUUGAAGAAUUAAUGGCAGGAGAAAACGCCAUGUUCAAGUUCUUGAGUCCCAGACUCCGCCUCCAAUCCACCGAUAUCCAAACUGCCGCCUUUUGGGGCGUCGCCGCCGGCACCACCGCUCUAUGGCUUGUCCAGCCAUUUGAUUGGAUUAAAAAGACCUUUUUCGAGAAAGCAAACACUGAAGAGAAGUGAAGAAGAAUCAACUUUGUGGUAACAGCUUUCUGAUUUCUUCUUUCAGGUUGCUGAGAAAAACCAUGAACAAAGUUGAUAUGAAUAAUGUUGUUUAAUUUUGCACUUUAUUGAUGAGUCCUUGUUGGCAUUAUUCAUGACAAUGAUUUGAGAAUUAAAAGCUUUUGUUUCUUGUUAUAU
Molecule: long non-coding RNA, 567 nt
Organism: Populus euphratica (Euphrates poplar)
Lineage: Eukaryota; Viridiplantae; Streptophyta; Magnoliopsida; Malpighiales; Salicaceae
Exons: 2
Source: RefSeq, a predicted model, not a curated record